UUAUGGUUCCUUAGAUCGUACUUUUCUACUUGGAUAACUGUGGCAAUUCUAGAGCUAAUACAUGCAGCAGAGCUCCGACCUUCGGGGACGAGCGCUUUUAUUAGACCAAGACCAAUCGGACUCCGGUCCGUACGCCACGGCGACUCUGGAUAACUUUGGGCUGAUCGCACGAUCUCGCAUCGGCGAUAUUUCUUUCAAGUGUCUGACUUAUCAACUUUCGAUGGUA
This 226-nucleotide ribosomal RNA is filed under the name Stylocellus sp. Peninsula 22. Its description in RNAcentral is "partial 18S ribosomal RNA". It matches the Rfam family "Eukaryotic small subunit ribosomal RNA", at positions 110 to 330 of the family's 1831-position model. The record is from RNAcentral. Lineage: Eukaryota; Metazoa; Arthropoda; Arachnida; Opiliones; Stylocellidae.